UUGACCUCGGAUCAGGUAGGGAUACCCGCUGAACUUAAGCAUAUCAAUAAGCGGGAGG
This 58-nucleotide ribosomal RNA is filed under the name Botryosphaeria dothidea. RNAcentral describes it as "partial 28S ribosomal RNA". Lineage: Eukaryota; Fungi; Ascomycota; Dothideomycetes; Botryosphaeriales; Botryosphaeriaceae. The record is from RNAcentral.